GGCGGCGAUUGCUGCUAUGAAACCGCCUGGAGGGAAACGGCCAUCUUUACAAACGGGAAAUGAACCAGUUUGAACAGCGGACCAAUCAGGGACACAGGAGGUACCCUGACAGAACCCACCGUAUGCACAGGGGGACCAUGCAAAUUCAAUGCAGAAAGACUCCAAACAGGACAUUCUUGUUAAAAUGCAGUAAUGAUACCAAUUCUGCCACCAGGCUCUGCCUCCGCAUUGCUGGUCCCAGUGGACAAGAUCUCUGAGGACAUCUCAUUCUGUCAGCUGCUGUGUCGGAAGAAGAGGGGGAAGAAGGAAGCACAGUUUGAAGUAGCCUCUGGAUUUGAGCGUCGCUGCUGUAGCUGUUGCUUAUCUGUGCAAAUCCAAGACAUAUUGUUGCAGUUUUAGUGUUUUGUAUUUGUGCAAAACAGUGUGUCUACCUCGACCACACAUCAGUGACUGCAGCAGCAGCCAGCCCAGCUGCAGUGAACAUGUGGACGGGUAAGAACGGUCUUUCUGGGCCUGAUAGCCCAUCUCACCAUGGCAACACUUCCCCACUGUGCGUCCCUGCUGCUGCAUUAGUUUUCUGCACACUGCGUGCAAACCAGGUCUGCAGCAUCCCUUACACUUACUAAAGGGCGCACGCACAGCAACAAGCCCAUCUUACCAAACUGAUAAAGACUUAUGAUACAGUGACUCUGGUGUUAAUGUGCUCUGAAAUUAGAAAACAAUUUGGAGUCAAGUAUGAUACAGAGGUAGUUAUUAUCUUAAUAAGUUCAUAAAAUAAGUCUGUUAAGGGAUUUAAUUUGUCACAUUUGUGUUAUUAAAGUAAGAAAAAUACAAAAGUCGGGUGUUGGCACACAUGUCUGGUCCAUAAUCAGUCUGAAAGUGGUGAUAUUGUUAAAAUACAGUUAUCUGGUCAGAUAUUAAUAACAUACAUCACCUUACAAAAGCACAGGAAGAGCGCAACAUUUAUUCAUCCAUUCAUUGUUGUAAUUUAAAUUUGGUCCCACUAUAAAUAAAGCUUUUCUGUUACAGUGGUGGAGAUCUGGAACAGAGUAGACAAGUUAGAGAUGGAAGUUAAAAAAAAAAAUUGUAGGGUUCAAAUCCCAGGCAUUUAAUAUAUCAUGAAAUGUUUCUCAUUCAAUGAAAGAAGGUGCAGCAAGACUGAACAUUUUGCUAAAUGCUAUGCAUGCGAGAAAACUAAUAUUAUACUUGAACUCUCCCUAUUUUUGUGGUGAAACAUGGUAUUGAGUACAUCAUGCUGUGGGCAUGCCUUUUCUUGAGCAGGAACAGAAAACUUGCUAAUUGUUACAAAACACUUUGAAAAAGGAUAAAGAUCCCCUUCAAACAGAGCGACAAAACUGAAAUGGUUUAGCUCAAAGCACCUUCACUUCUUAAGGUGGUCCAGAGUCCAGACAUAGAUCCUAUUGAGAACGUGCGGCAAGACAUUAAUAAAUUUGAAGUUGCCAGAUGGUUUCCAUCUAAGUGUGUGCAAAGUUAGAGGAGAAACACACCAAAAGAAUAGCUGCUGUCAGAACAUUACAUUUUACAGCUGUAUGGUGUCUAAAUACAGAUAAUCCAUUCAUAUUUCAACAGAAACACAAAACAUAGCACCUGUUUGAUUGUUGACAACUUUGUUAACCUUGGCGUUUAUUGUGUGUUAAUUAUUUAGUUCUUUAUAUAACACACAUCUUGGUUUUCUUCUUGAAUUUAAACAAGAUAUUUAUAGUUCUGUGGAAAAAAGGGGGACACUUCACUUAUAUGUGUUCUACUGUUUACAAAAUACUAAUAUCAUUUUAUUAUUGCAAAUAAUACAUUUGAAGUAUUGACAAUUUGCACAAAACUUAUUAUAAAGUAGCCAUUUGUGCCUUGUUGUUAGUAUUUAUCCUAAAAAUCUAUCUGCAAAAGGAAAACAAGCAAACUAACAAAAGAAAACAAAUACAGUGUAAUAUUAACAUCAGUUUACAAUGUUGUUGUCACAUCAAAGACUCCUGGCGAUCACAGGUAAAGAGCGAUAUAUAUUUUUAUUACUUGUCUAGAAAUGCAUUUGCAGGGGGAAAAAAGUGGCAUGACUUGCCUAUUUUUAAUCCCUGUUAAAUGAAGCAGAGGCAGGAGUACAUUAAGCAAAAAUGUAAAUAAUUAAAACUAAAUAGUGCUUGCCGUGACCUGAAGCUGAACUGGUGGUUGCUAAGGUCACAACAUAAAGUACCACUGCCUCCGUGAUAUAAACGCUCCUCUGCUGCAAAUCAGCUUGGCAAACAAUUAAUAU
Long non-coding RNA from Poecilia reticulata (guppy), 2263 nucleotides. RefSeq lists it as uncharacterized. The record is from RefSeq and is a predicted model, not a curated record. NCBI's taxonomy places the organism in Eukaryota, Metazoa, Chordata, Actinopteri, Cyprinodontiformes, Poeciliidae.